CCUACGGGAGGCAGCAGUGAGGAAUAUUGGUCAAUGGACGAGAGUCUGAACCAGCCAAGUAGCGUGAAGGAUGACUGCCCUAUGGGUUGUAAACUUCUUUUAUAUGGGAAUAAAAUGUUCCACGUGUGGGAUUUUGUAUGUACCAUAUGAAUAAGGAUCGGCUAACUCCGGGCCAGCAGCCGCGGUAAUACGGAGGAUCCGAGAGUUAUCCGGAUUUAUUGGGUUUAAAGGGAGCGUAGGUGGAUUGUUAAGUCAGUUGUGAAAGUUUGCGGCUCAACCGUAAAAUUGCAGUUGAAACUGGCAGUCUUGAGUACAGUAGAGGUGGGCGGAAUUCGUGGUGUAGCGGUGAAAUGCUUAGAUAUCACGAAGAACUCCGAUUGCGAAGGCAGUUCACUGGACUGCAACUGACACUGAGGCUCGAAAGUGUGGGUAUCAAACAGGAUUAGAUACCCCAGUAGUC
This 460-nucleotide ribosomal RNA is filed under the name uncultured bacterium. RNAcentral's name for it is "partial 16S ribosomal RNA". It matches the Rfam family "Bacterial small subunit ribosomal RNA", at positions 338 to 795 of the family's 1533-position model. The record is from RNAcentral.